GACGAACGCUGGCGGCGUGCUUAACACAUGCAAGUCGAACGGAAAGGCCCUGCUUUUGUGGGGUGCUCGAGUGGCGAACGGGUGAGUAACACGUGAGUAACCUGCCCUUGACUUUGGGAUAACUUCAGGAAACUGGGGCUAAUACCGGAUAGGAGCUCCUGCUGCAUGGUGGGGGUUGGAAAGUUUCGGCGGUUGGGGAUGGACUCGCGGCUUAUCAGCUUGUUGGGGGGGUAGUGGCUUACCAAGGCUUUGACGGGUAGCCGGCCUGAGAGGGUGACCGGGCACAUUGGGACUGAGAUACGGCCCAGACUCCUACGGGAGGCAGCAGUGGGGAAUAUUGCACAAUGGGCGGAAGCCUGAUGCAGCAACGCCGCGUGCGGGAUGACGGCCUUCGGGUUGUAAACCGCUUUCGCCUGUGACGAAGCGUGAGUGACGGUAAUGGGUAAAGAAGCACCGGCUAACUACGUG
RNAcentral lists this ribosomal RNA (468 nucleotides) under uncultured bacterium. RNAcentral describes it as "partial 16S ribosomal RNA". It matches the Rfam family "Bacterial small subunit ribosomal RNA", at positions 28 to 507 of the family's 1533-position model. The record is from RNAcentral.